Molecule: unclassified non-coding RNA, 211 nt
Filed under: plant metagenome
Description: partial contains small subunit ribosomal RNA, internal transcribed spacer 1, and 5.8S ribosomal RNA
Source: RNAcentral
UUUCCGUAGGUGAACCUGCGGAAGGAUCAUUCAUAAUAAAGUGUUUUAUGGCACUUUUUAAAAAUCCAUAUCCACCUUGUGUGCAAUGUUAGAUCUCGUCAAUCUUGGCGAGAUUUUUAUACAUCAACUCAUUUUUUAACUAAUUUGUCUGAAAAAUAUUAUGAAUACUUAAUUCAAAAUACAACUUUCGACAACGGAUCUCUUGGCUCUC